This is a long non-coding RNA of Mauremys mutica (yellowpond turtle), 303 nucleotides long. RefSeq lists it as uncharacterized. The record is from RefSeq and is a predicted model, not a curated record. NCBI's taxonomy places the organism in Eukaryota, Metazoa, Chordata, Testudines, Geoemydidae. The transcript is spliced from 3 exons.
CUCAGCAUUGUGUCACAAAUGCCCAUGAUAGCCAAUAAAAGCUGCACAUCAAAAUUUUCAAGUACACUUUAGAAGUGUAAAGUUGAAUGGUGAUGGAAUGAAUCUGUUCUGAAGCAUGUUAAAUCUGCACAUUUGAGUGCUUUGAUGCCAAUGUUCAUUUUACUUCAAGGUUCAACUUUUUGCCAACCAUUGGCCGGGUGUAAUACUUAACCUUGAUCGCAUGGUCAAGGCCAUCAUCUAAGUCUGUCACUUUCCUGCUGCCGUUUGCUUUUCUCCCAUUGCUGCUUUGCGAUUAGUGCUCAG